Bubalus bubalis (water buffalo) is the source of this 1807-nucleotide long non-coding RNA. RefSeq lists it as uncharacterized. The transcript is spliced from 3 exons. The record is from RefSeq and is a predicted model, not a curated record. Lineage: Eukaryota; Metazoa; Chordata; Mammalia; Artiodactyla; Bovidae.
AGACGGAGGGAUCGUGGGUUGUGGGACCUGCUCGGUGAAGAGCACUCUUUACAUUUCCGAUCGUGGCUGAUGUCCAGGCGGAUUGGGGGCGCUCUGUGUGUGAUCUUAGGCCGCAGCUAUUUCACCACCCCUACACAUGAAGUGCAUUGGACUGAGAGGGCUUCCCAGAUGACUCAGAUGCUUAUCAGGCCAAACACUGGGAGUCAUCCUUGAUUUCUCUUCGAACCUUACAGCAGAUCCUGAUAAAGUCACUUCAGUCGUGUUCGACUCUGUGCGACCCCAUAGACGGCAGCCCACCAGGUUCCCGCGUCCCUGGGAUUCUCCAGGCACAACAGUGGAGUGGGUUGCCAUUUCCUUCUCCAUACAGCAGAUCCUACCGGCUCCAACUUCAAGAUAUGUACUUCUUGUUACCUUCAUCACUUAUAACCUGGUCCAAGCCACUUUCAUCCGGUACCUUAAUUACUGUGAGUGUCCUUACCUUUGACUUCCUGUAGUCCACUUUCAACACAGCAGCCAAAUGAAUAUUUUGGGGGGUGGAGUGGGGGUCUAUGCCUCACAGCUUCCAGCAGCUCGCGAUCUUAGUUCCCUGGCCUGAGAUUGAACCUGGACCCUCGGCAGUGAAAGUCCUAACCAUUGCACCACCAGGAAAUUCCCCACCAAAUGAAUAUUUUAAAGCCCAAGCUAGAUCAUGUCACUUCUCAACACUUGUCAAUGGUGCUCCAUUUCACUGUCUUGAUAAUGGCUUACAAGCCCUUACUUUAUCUAGCCUUCUGCUACUUCUAUAACCACAUUAUCCUACUACUUACCAUCUUCCUCAGUCAAUUCUGUAACUAGCCCCACUGGCCUCUUUGCUCUUUCUCAAACAUGCCAGUAUCUUCUCACCUCACAAACUUGGCAACCUAGAAUCAUCUUAGUCACAAAUAUUCCCAUGGCUUGCUCUCUCACCUCUUUCAGGGCUUUGAUGAACUGUAAUUUCAACAGUCUUACCCACACACACGAAAUCCCUCUCCUUCCCUGCUUUACAUUCUCCAAAGUACUUAUUAUCUAGCAUGUUUUGUCUCUUCUACAACUAGAAUGUAAGUUAUAUGAAGCCAAGAUGCUUGUUUACUGCCAUCAGUAAAUGGUAUAUAGUACUUAGUAAAUACUAUAUUCUAACUAAGGAAUAAAUGCAAGGCAAGGGAGUGCCUAAAACUACUUUCCAGAAAAGAUAUAUCUAGCUUUCAGUUUUAACUUGUUUUCAUGACUAGGGUUCUUUGGUUUUGAGUGUUACGUGAAUCAAGAAAAGGGGUUAAGAUUCCACAGUGCAAAAAAGGUAGCACAAGACAAGUGAAAAUCCACAAACUGAAUGAAUUCAACAGAAGUAGGCCCCAGAGCUAGAGAUUACAAUAAAUACAAGCCUCUAAGGGGAUCCACAGAAGUCAUAGAGAGGGCUUCAAACUUUCUACAGAAUGUUGAAUGAUAGAGAUCAAGCCAAUCUUACUGGUUUUCAAAACUGUCAAGAGACUGGGAUGCUUUAGGCACUGAUGGUAAGAUGAAAUGUAACGCUGUACCAGUUAGUUUAACAAACCUCUGUAACUAGGGAUCCAGCUGUUUGGAAGUUUGUAUUGAUUUAUACCUCACCUAUUCCCAAGGAUGAUACAGUUGAUACCUCUUUUAACAAAAGCAAAUCACUAAAUGUAUGACUUUGUAAUAAAUUUAUAUCAUCCAUUCUCACGCUGUUCAUUUAGUACUUCUCUGUUCUUCCAUUUAAGUCAGACCAAUAUUCCUAAAAUAUCAGCAACUUUAUCACUAAAGUUUCAGGAGGGGC